CCUGAUUCUUUUUGGAGGUUAAAUACCACAUAACAAGCUACACAUAUCAACCUUUAGAACACAAAACACAUUAAAGAUGACCGAGAUAUAAGGCCUGACAUUUGCCAAAAAAAAAUUUUCUGGACACUUAGAAUAUUUUCUGGGUUUGAAAAACAGCCGGUCAAUGCCGGUCAACCCACUUUGACCGCUUAUAAAUCCCGAUCUACAAUAGAUAUAGACCUG
Molecule: long non-coding RNA, 222 nt
Filed under: Panax ginseng (ginseng)
Lineage: Eukaryota; Viridiplantae; Streptophyta; Magnoliopsida; Apiales; Araliaceae
Description: long non-coding RNA (PGIN_LNC000777)
Source: RNAcentral